RNAcentral lists this unclassified non-coding RNA (244 nucleotides) under plant metagenome. RNAcentral's name for it is "partial contains small subunit ribosomal RNA, internal transcribed spacer 1, and 5.8S ribosomal RNA". The record is from RNAcentral.
UCUCCGUUGGUGAACCAGCGGAGGGAUCAUUACCGAGUUUACAACUCCCAAACCCAAUGUGAACCAUACCAAACUGUUGCCUCGGCAGGGUCACGCCCCGGGUGCGUCGCAGCCCCGGAACCAGGCGCCCGCCGGAGGGACCAACCAUACUCUUUCUGUAGUCCCCUCGCGGACGUUAUUUUUACAGCUCUGAGCAAAAAUUCAAAAUGAAUCAAAACUUUCAACAACGGAUCUCUUGGUUCUG